Long non-coding RNA from Gadus morhua (Atlantic cod), 561 nucleotides. RefSeq lists it as uncharacterized. Lineage: Eukaryota; Metazoa; Chordata; Actinopteri; Gadiformes; Gadidae. The transcript is spliced from 3 exons. The record is from RefSeq and is a predicted model, not a curated record.
UUCUGUUUUAAUGUAAAAAACACAGUUCAUAACAUACUCGAUUUUUAUGUAGUCAUCCCUGCACCGUACAUGACAAGAACCUAUAGAAGAGACAGUGUUAAAUGGUUGUUUAUGUGGUCGGGAAAAUUAUGUUUUUACUAUUAUUGGGUUUUGUUUUUAUUAUUCAAUUUACAUGUUUUUUAUGUUUGUUUUAUGUAAAGCACAAUGAGGUGCCCCUGGGCAUGAAAUGCACUAUAUAAAUGAAGCUGCCUUGCCUUGCCUAGGUGUGAAGGAUGUUGAUGGCUUGCAGGUCAAAGCUUUGGUAUUGUAACUUUUUCAGUGGAAUCCCGCACAUUAUGAAGUGCUGUUUGGUGUUGUGCAUGAACACCAUCACUGGUUCCUGGUUGUAAUAUAUCCAUCGGAAAAAAAGACACUCCUGUUGGAUUCACUUGGAGAAACUGCUGCCAAGCUGAAAAAGGGCCAGGAUGUAACAAGAGCAUUCAUGAGGAAGAAAGGGAUAAAUGUGUCCAGAUGGAAAAGCGACACAGUGCCUCAUCCACACCAACCAGACAGCACCUCUUG